Molecule: ribosomal RNA, 253 nt
Filed under: uncultured bacterium
Lineage: Bacteria
Description: partial 16S ribosomal RNA
Rfam family: Bacterial small subunit ribosomal RNA
Source: RNAcentral
CACGGGGGGAGCAAGCGUUGUUCGGAAUUACUGGGCGUAAAGGGCUCGUAGGCGGCCAACUAAGUCACACGUGAAAUCCCCAGGCUUAACCUGGGAACUGCGUGUGAUACUGGAUGGCUUGAAUCCGGGAGAGGGAUGCGGAAUUCCAGGUGUAGCGGUGAAAUGCGUAGAUAUCUGGAGGAACACCGGUGGCGAAGGCGGCAUCCUGGACCGGUAUUGACGCUGAUGAGCGAAAGCCAGGGGAGCAAACGGG